UUAUGCCUUUACGUAGGCAACCCCGCUUUACUCCACCUUCUGUUGUGCGGCCAUUUUUUCCCCAUAUCAAGCCAACUACAUCUGUAAAUUGUCAUCGUAAUAACCAUAUUGUGGCUAGUAGAAACAUCGUAUCGAGACAAAUGAUCAAAGUGGAAAAUUACACGAAACAUACUGGACAGUGGGGGAGAGUGGGUUGGCAACACUUGACAGUUCCCGACCUCCAACGCCGUUAAA
Leptopilina heterotoma is the source of this 234-nucleotide long non-coding RNA. RefSeq lists it as uncharacterized. The record is from RefSeq and is a predicted model, not a curated record. The transcript is spliced from 2 exons. NCBI's taxonomy places the organism in Eukaryota, Metazoa, Arthropoda, Insecta, Hymenoptera, Figitidae.